RNAcentral lists this small RNA (432 nucleotides) under Drosophila virilis. RNAcentral's name for it is "GJ26691". Lineage: Eukaryota; Metazoa; Arthropoda; Insecta; Diptera; Drosophilidae. The record is from RNAcentral.
GUGCAUUUUUGGCAGGCAGUCAGCCGAUGCAUUUUCAGCAGACCGCAAGAUCUGCAAAUGUCUUACUACCCUUCUUCCCCAUUAUGUAUACAAACGACGAAGCUACUUAAAACAGGCGCCAAGAGCAGCUGCUAAUGGGAUUACACUAGGCAUCGUGGAUUCAGCUUGUGGAGAAAAUUUGGCAAGGUUGACAAGGUUGUUGCUGCAGCCCACAAUAUACAUGGGCGAGCUGACAAAAUAAACUGAUGGAUACACUUGGCAUAUUGUACAUAUGCAAAUGCCGGCAGCAAUCGGGCCUAGACAUGCCAAUGCGAGCCAAGAGAAGCCGAGCCGAGCUCAAGCUGUAAAGGAUGUGGCGUCGACAUUCUUCUUGUCUGCCUCAACUUCAAUUGUAUGCACUUCGUGGCAGUGGCAGUGGCUGUGGCAGUGGCA